Molecule: ribosomal RNA, 462 nt
Filed under: uncultured bacterium
Lineage: Bacteria
Description: bacterial SSU rRNA
Rfam family: Bacterial small subunit ribosomal RNA
Source: RNAcentral
GACGAACGCUGGCGGCGUGCCUAACACAUGCAAGUCAAAGGAAAGCGGCUUCGGCCGGGAGUACUUGGCGCAAGGGUGAGUAAUGUAUAGGUAAUUUGCCCUUUGGACUGGGAUAACCCCGAGAAAUCGGGGACAAUACCAGAUGAUGCAGCGGAACCGCAUGGUUAUGUUGUUAAAGAUUUAUCGCCAAAGGAUGAACCUAUAUCCCAUCAGGUAGUUGGUAAGGUAACGGCUUACCAAGCCUACGACGGGUAGCUGGUUUGAGAGGAUGAUCAGCCACAUUGGAACUGAGACMCGGUCCAGACUCCUACGGGAGGCAGCAGUGAGGAAUAUUGCGCAAUGGGCGAAAGCCUGACGCAGCAACGCCGCGUGGAUGAUGAAGUUUUUCGGAAUGUAAAGUCCUUUUGUAGAGGAAGAAUAUCUUGGUUUACCAGGACUGACGGUACUUUACGAAUAAGCCCC